CUUUAAAAAAGCUUCUCUCUCUUAUCUCUCUCAUAUCCUUUAGAGAGAGGAAGCUUUAUGUAUUUUUUGUUUUCCAAUUAAAAUCAGUUCUUUGCCGGCUAAAUCCGGAUAUGUACCUUCUCACCUAAGCGUGAGUUCUCUUUUAGCCGUUUUGGCUAUUUUGAUUUUGUUUCCUCAAUCCUUUUGCAGAAUCUAAAUUCUCUUCCAGUAAAGAAGAAUCAAAAUCCGAACGUUUAAUUGAGAGUUUUUAAGAUCAUUGGCUGCUCGAUUUCGAUCAUGAGAAGAAUAAAUCCUUCAUAUCCUAAUCGUGGCCGUAAUCGGAAUUGGAAGAAGGUAUCACCUCAAGGUUUCAAAUCGUGUUGAGAGGAUUUCGUUGGCUGGUGCAGAACAUAUCAAGAGAGUGUGUUUACGACUGAUUUGCCCUCUCGCCCGCUGCGUCUUCCCGUGUUUCAUAGAUCUGAUGGCUUGCUAAUCUCUGUUUUUUACAAUCGGAGAGUUUAGCAAAAGGUAGCAAAGCAAGGUGAUUGGAGUUUGAAGCUGAAGAUCGGUAAAAUCCUUGGUCAGAAAAAGCUUUUCUAUGGUGAAAGUCGAAGGAUUGAUCGGUGGUUCAGCUCGGUGGAGAUGGUGGUGGCUGUGCCUUUCCACUUCCAGCAUGCAUCAAUACACGUAUCUUCACACGUGUCCCUUUUAGACCUAUGUUCUCUUGUUUCUUCUUGUAAUUUUGGGCUAAUUGAGUUUAUCUUUUGUGUAAUUGGGCUCUUUAUCACCUUGUAAUCCUCUUUGGAUUUUAAUGAAAAGUUUGACGACAAAAAA
This is an RNA transcript of Arabidopsis thaliana (thale cress), 813 nucleotides long. RefSeq lists it as uncharacterized. The transcript has a single exon. The record is from RefSeq. NCBI's taxonomy places the organism in Eukaryota, Viridiplantae, Streptophyta, Magnoliopsida, Brassicales, Brassicaceae.